This 253-nucleotide ribosomal RNA is filed under the name uncultured bacterium. Its description in RNAcentral is "partial 16S ribosomal RNA". It matches the Rfam family "Bacterial small subunit ribosomal RNA", at positions 524 to 776 of the family's 1533-position model. The record is from RNAcentral.
UACGUAGGGGGCAAGCGUUGUCCGGAUUUAUUGGGCGUAAAGCGCACGCAGGCGGUGCGGUAAGUUUCGAGUGACAGGUGGUGGCUUAACUGCCACAGGCCUUGGAAAACUGCCGCACUUGAGGGCUUGAGAGGGACGCGGAAUUCCAGGUGGAGCGGUGAAAUGCGUAGAUAUCUGGAAGAACACCAGUGGCGAAGGCGGUCAACUGGCCCGAAACUGACGCUGAGGCACGAAAGCGUGGGUAGCGAACAGG